ACGUAGGUGGCAAGCGUUGUCCGGAUUUACUGGGUGUAAAGGGCGCGUAGGCGGGAUAGCAAGUCAGCCGUGAAAUGCCGAGGCUUAACCUCGGAGCUGCGGUUGAAACUGUUAUUCUUGAGUAUCGGAGAGGAAAGCGGAAUUCCUAGUGUAGCGGUGAAAUGCGUAGAUAUUAGGAGGAACACCAGUGGCGAAGGCGGCUUUCUGGACGACAACUGACGCUGAGGCGCGAAAGUGUGGGGAGCAAACAG
RNAcentral lists this ribosomal RNA (251 nucleotides) under uncultured bacterium. RNAcentral describes it as "partial 16S ribosomal RNA". It matches the Rfam family "Bacterial small subunit ribosomal RNA", at positions 525 to 775 of the family's 1533-position model. The record is from RNAcentral.